This is a non-coding RNA of Pelobates cultripes (western spadefoot toad), 993 nucleotides long. The record is from the annotation of a GenBank genome assembly. Lineage: Eukaryota; Metazoa; Chordata; Amphibia; Anura; Pelobatidae.
CUCAUUCAUUAAUAUAUAGCUUCAGUUUCAUAUCUGUUGAAGCUAUGUCAUUACAUAUUACAUCUAUUUUGAAAAGUACUAAUAAAGUGAAAUAAAUCUGUCAUAGAAAGACAGACUUCGGAAAUUAGGAAUGUAAUGCCCAGAAACAAAUUAGUCAAAUGUUCUUCGUAUUGGCAACAGGGCCAAUAUAUAAUUUAAUUUGACAUUGUCAUUUCCAAGACACCUUCAUUUCUUAGGCCAGCCCAGUAGGACUCCUGUCCCCAAACAAGUUAUGUCCAAUACAAUAUAUAAAAGCCCUGUUUAACAGACCAGGGACAUAGUAAGAGCAGCUACUGUUACUUAAAGAUUUAACCAACCCGCCCCAUAUGUUGCUCUUGGCCUGCUUAAUUCAAUAGCUCACAAAUUAGUGAUAUCAUAAGCACUCACCUAAAUUAAACACUUGUCACAAAGAAGUAAAAAACAUUUCUUGUCACUCUACAUUCUUUAGCCUGAACUAGUCUCUACCAUAAAUAGUCGUCCUGAUCCUUCUUUGUGACAAAAUAAUUAGCCGAAAAGCUUGCAGUAGUGUUUACACACCUGUACAUCUCUGUUUUAGUUUGGUAAGGUAAUAUGAUUGUAAUACUUUUUUAUUCUCAGUUAGGUAGAGUAUGCAGACGAGCUUUUAAAAAUUCCUUCAAACUGUAGUAAUCACAAAAUCCAUCUGCUUAUCACAGAUUUAUAUAAAGGUAAUUAAGUUGUUGGUACACCAUUCACAUUGAUGUGCAGAAUGACUAGUAAAUGAAUUGGCAAUUAAUUUGUUACAAUCUGGGAAGGAAAAACUUGACAACAUAAAUCAUAAAGAAAUGUAUUACUAAUUAUAUAGAAAGCACAUUUCAACAUUUAACCGAGGCAGUAAAUGCAGGGUUUAUUAUGGUGUUUAAAUCAAUAUUCCAAAAGGUGAGUUAUCUCUUGCAGAUGUAACCCCUUAAGGCAGGGGUUCUCAACGUUAGUCCU